RNA transcript from Harpia harpyja (harpy eagle), 4462 nucleotides. It is a transcript of the gene named transmembrane protein 63A, with no coding region annotated. The record is from RefSeq and is a predicted model, not a curated record. The transcript is spliced from 27 exons. Lineage: Eukaryota; Metazoa; Chordata; Aves; Accipitriformes; Accipitridae.
GCAUGCGCAGCUCCCGGGACUUGUUGCUUGGGCUUGUAACUUCGGGGCCGGGACGGUGGCUUCGGCGCCGCGCCCCGUGUGGUGACGAGACGAGACGGGAGAGGAGAGGCGAGGAGAGGCCGCCCCGGUGCAGCAUCCAGAAUAGUGCUGUCAUCAGAGACCUGUGCAUUCCUCUUACAGAGGCAUGAUAUCCCCAAAAUAGUGUCCCUGGACCUGGGUGAUGAGGACCUACAAUAUUUGCCUUCAAAGGAUAGAGUUUUGUGGGGGAAAACCAAAAUGAACCCUUUCUUUUUUCUGGGUUUUGGACAUUCUCAUCUAGUCUACUUCUGGAAUAGAAGUCUACCUUUCAACUCAACAAAUGAGACAUACUGCUACAGCACUGCCCAGGGCAGCACGGUGCUCCAAGGAGUAACUUUUGGUGGAAUCCCAACUGUCCUGCUGCUUGAUGUAACCUUCUUUUUUAUUUUAAUAUUACUGUUUUCCAUUAUAAGAAAGAGAUUCUGGGACUAUGGUCGUGUUGCUCUGGUGUCAGAAGCUGAAAGUGAAUCAAGAUACAACCGAUUGUCAACAUCUUCAUCAGUACCUGAAGAUCUUGAAUAUGAUAGGGGGUUUUGUUCUUGGAUGACAGCUGCUUUUCGAAUGCAUGAUGACGAGAUUCAUGAGAGAUGUGGUGAAGAUGCCAUACAUUACCUUGCCUUCCAGCGUCACAUCAUCUGUUUGUUGAUUGCUGUCAGCAUUUUGUCUGUGUGUGUCAUAUUGCCUGUCAACCUAUCAGGUGAUCUACUUGAUAAAGAUCCCUAUAGUUUUGGAAGAACAACUAUAGUAAACUUACAAACUGGUAAUAAUCUUCUUUGGCUGCACACCAUUUUUGCUGUUGUUUACCUGAUUCUAACUGUUGUCUUCAUGAGACAUCACAUGAAGUAUGUCACAUAUAAAGAAGAAAACAUAGUUAAGUGCACAUUGUUUAUAACUGGUCUUCCAAAAAAUGCAAAAGAAGAGACAAUACAAGGCCAUUUCACAACUGCCUACCCAACCUGCACUGUGCUGGAGGUCCAGCUGUGUUAUGACGUAGCCAAGCUUAUUCAUCUCUUCAAAAAAAGAAAACAGGCAGAAAAAAGCCUGACUUACUAUGAACACCUGCAUCAGAAGUAUGGCAAGCGGGUCCAAAUCAACCCUAAGCCAUGUGGUCAAUUCUGCUGUUGUGAAAUGAAAGGAUGUGAAAGGGAGGAUGCUGUAGAUUAUUAUACCAAAGUUAGAAAUGAACUGAUGGAAGAAUAUUCAAAAGAGGAACAAGCUGUUCAUAAUAACCCACUGGGAAUGGCUUUUGUAACAUUUCAAGAGAAAUCCAUGGCAACCUAUAUCCUUAAGGACUUCAAUGCCUGCAAAUGUCAGAGUAUUAAGUGUAAAGGAGAACCCCAGCCAUCGUCCUACAGUAGGGAGCUAUGCGUAUCAAACUGGGAGGUUACAUAUGCUCCUUAUCCUGAGAAUAUUUGUUGGAAAAAUCUUUCAGUGCGUGGACUGAAAUGGUGGUUUAGAUGGGCUUGCAUUAAUUUGCUUCUUUUUAUUGUACUGUUUUUUCUUACUACUCCUUCCAUAAUCAUCUCAACCAUGGACAAGUUCAAUGUCACUAAACCUAUUCACUACCUUAAUAAUCCCAUCAUCAGUCAGUUUUUCCCAACGCUCUUACUCUGGUCCUUCUCAGCUUUGCUACCAACAAUUGUAUAUUACUCAACUUUGCUGGAGUCCCACUGGACAAAAUCUGCAGAGAACAGAAUAAUGAUGCAUAAAGUCUACAUAUUUUUGAUCUUCAUGGUACUGAUUCUGCCCUCCCUUGGUCUGACCAGCCUUGAUUUUUUUUUCCGUUGGCUGUUUGACAGAGAAUCAUCUGAUUCUGCAGUUAGGCUGGAAUGUGUCUUUUUGCCUGACCAGGGAGCCUUCUUUGUGAACUACGUGAUUGCCUCUGCUUUUGUUGGCAAUGGGAUGGAGUUGCUGCGCCUGCCUGGGCUCAUCCUUUACACCAUACGCAUGAUAAUGGCCAGGUCCACAGCAGAAAGGAAAAAUAUUAAACAGCAACAAGCAUUUGAAUAUGAAUUUGGAGCAAUGUAUGCCUGGAUGUUGUGUGUGUUCACUGUCAUCAUGGCCUAUAGCAUUACGUGUCCCAUCAUUGUUCCAUUUGGUUUAAUAUACAUACUCCUGAAGCACAUGGUUGACCGUUAUAACCUUUACUAUGCAUAUCUCCCUGCCAAGCUAGAGAAGAAGAUGCACUUUGCAGCUGUGAAUCAGGCCCUUGCAGCUCCAAUUCUCUGCCUUUUUUGGCUCUAUUUUUUCUCAUUUUUGCGGCUAGGCUUUAAAGCACCUACAACCAUGUUUACCUUCCUAGUUGUCAACAUCACAAUUAUCAUUUGCUUGGCUUAUACUUGUUUUGGCUGUUUCAAGUACCUGAGCCCACUGGAUUAUAAGAUAGAAGACACGCAAGGUGAAAGAGGAAGCGACACAGAUGUACCACCCAUCCCAACAUCUUCUAUGUACGUCCCCCGAGUUUUGCAUCCUCAUUGUACAGAAAGGACGAUACUUGCCCAUAAGGAGCAACAAUCGUAUGGCACCAUGGACAACACUUGUUCACAGGCAGAAGGAAUCAUUAACUAUUCUGCUGGACCUGCAAUUACUGAGCAGGCACCGAGAGGUUCGCUUUGAAUGCCAGGGACUAACACAAGUGUCUUGCAGGACUGCCUCCAGCUUCCUGAGACCAGCACUCUGGUCAAAUGCUGAGUAGGAGACCUGCCCUGCUGCAAGAAGGACACUGCAGAGCUUUGAUAACCAUGAUGACAAGCCAUUCCUGUUAGUUGAAGGCUGCUGAACCUUGGUAAUGAAGCUCCUUGUGGCUGGCACAGGUUCAGUACAGAGCGAGCCAGCUCUGCUGUGAACUUGAAUAAACCCACCUCCAGUCAUGCUAACGUGCUUCAGAUACAGAAUAUGGAAAACCUACUAGGUAAUGGAAAGUUGCAUGUUGCUAAAUAGUCAUUGCUGGCAUUCGAGGAACCAGUUUGUGUGUCUGAUGGGGAAGCCACCUGCAUAUUUCACUUAUCAUGUAGCAGCCAUUCUUGUUCGCUACUGUACUCUGUUGCAGUUAAACUCAUAGAAAUGUCUAUGAUAUUAGGACAUGCACUAGUUUGAGUAAAGGCCAGGAUCACAUAGUAGUAAAUUAUCACAAGACCUCCAUGUACAGCAACACACAAAUUAAAGGCUGGUUUAUCAGCUUUGCUGUGUUGUGCUUGCUUCCUAGUAUCUUUUGGUUACCUCUCUGAGAGCCGGAAGUAAUUAGGAAACUGCACUGGCUGUAAUUUGUUCCUUCAUGCUGGUGGAUAUCUCUGAGAGGAUAAAAUUAGAUCAGCAGGAGAAACUCCUUGCAUUCCUUGCUGAGCCUUAGAGAAAAGCUGAGGGAUGGAAGCCUCCACAAAUGUGGAUAUUGGCUGCACUGUAUCUGAAAUUCAUAUUUAAAGCCAUUGCACAUUCUUUACUGUUCUUUUUAUAAAUCUUUUGGCAGGAAGCCUAAGCAAAUGGCCCAGCUGGAGUUACUGAUUGUAGCUCCCAGAAGCCAUAUUUGUUGAGAUCCAGCGCCUGCUGCUUGCCUUGCAUUGCUCAGUUGGAACAACUCCUCCCCCCCUCCUUGGUCCUUGCUAAGUCCUUACUUGCGUUCUAGCAGCCGCCACCAGCAGUGCUUCUGUGGAACAUGAAUCCUGGACAAGUCUGACAUUUGAGAAUGAAAAUCAAAUUCCCAGCUCUGCUUACCCACAGAUGCUAGUAGCACAACUGAAAGCUUUCUCAUGUAUGAUCUACAGCUAGUUCAUUUAUUAGUGUUUGGAAGCCUUUCACUUUUAUGCUUUUCAAGAAGGUGGGCUUGACCUACAAGCAGGAGGCCACAGAGUUGUGUUCCUGGCUCUUGGCAAAGGUGAGGUGAGAGGCACAGGAAGAUUUGGGGAGGAGGGGUCUUUUUCUGUCACUAACACAAACCCAUGUCCACUGAGUACAAAGAAAAGACACGCUUUAUUGUCUCUAAACUGCAAUAAUACAAGGAAAUACACACUUCUAAUUCCAAUUGAUGGCCAGGGUCAUAACUUUCAAAGAGGCCAUGUGUCUUGUCUUCUUAAACUGGUCUUGCAAAUUCCUUCUCUGUCCAAUCUAGGCAAGACUUCUUGAAUGAUUCUGCUUGUCACCUGUCUGUAACAGCUGCAAGUGCCUGUUUCAGAUAUUUCAGAGGUACAGUAGUUGUUCUUUCUUUCUGAGGACAGCUGUCUGACAGAUCAAAACAGAAAGGAAAUUACCAAAAGCAGAGACACUGAAGAUUGGGUCAUUAUAAUGGAACAUUCUUGCCUCUAAUUUUUUGGUUCUUGGGUUAACUCCUGACUCUUGCUUUGUAUCUGACAUCCUAUUGGUUAGGCCGUAGCAUCUCAGCUGUAGCAAG